ACAGUGGACGCGAGCAUCUGUGGCCAAGUUUUUAAGGGCGCACGGUGGAUGCCUUGGCACCAGGAACCGAUGAAGGACGUGGGAGGCCACGAUAGUCCCCGGGGAGCUGUCAACCAAGCUUUGAUCCGGGGGUUUCCGAAUGGGGAAACCCGGCAGUCGUCAUGGGCUGUCACCCGCUGCUGAACACAUAGGCAGUGUGGAGGGAACGAGGGGAAGUGAAACAUCUCAGUACCCUCAGGAAGAGAAAACAACCGUGAUUCCGGGAGUAGUGGCGAGCGAAACUGGAUGAGGCCAAACCGUAUGCGUGUGAUACCCGGCAGGGGUUGCGCAUGCGGGGUUGUGGGAUCUCUUUUUCACAGUCUGCCGGCUGUGAGGCGAGUCAGAAACCGUUGAUGUAGGCGAAGGACAUGCGAAAGGUCCGGCGUAGAGGGUAAGACCCCCGUAGCUGAAACAUUAACGGCUCGUUUGAGAGACACCCAAGUAGCACGGGGCCCGAGAAAUCCCGUGUGAAUCUGGCGGGACCACCCGCUAAGCCUAAAUAUUCCCUGGUGACCGAUAGCGGAUAGUACCGUGAGGGAAUGGUGAAAAGUACCGCGGGAGCGGAGUGAAAUAGUACCUGAAACCGUGUGCCUACAAGCCGUGGGAGCGUCGC
Molecule: ribosomal RNA, 652 nt
Filed under: Streptomyces sp. SID4939
Lineage: Bacteria; Bacillati; Actinomycetota; Actinomycetes; Kitasatosporales; Streptomycetaceae
Description: partial 23S ribosomal RNA
Rfam family: Bacterial large subunit ribosomal RNA
Source: RNAcentral